RNAcentral lists this non-coding RNA (271 nucleotides) under Rubripirellula lacrimiformis. The record is from RNAcentral. Lineage: Bacteria; Pseudomonadati; Planctomycetota; Planctomycetia; Pirellulales; Pirellulaceae.
GGAAUCCCGUCUGGGUAAGCGUUAGCCGCGCGCCCAGUAUCGAGUGUUGCAGGCUUCGUAUAGGCACCAUGAGCUGAAGUCGAAGUUUGAAGCGUACACAGAAAGGUAAUGAGGAUGAAGCGCUCGUAGGUGGCCCUGCGACGUUGAAUGGAUUUUAGCCCCGAAAUUUGGUAACUGUUGGAUCCUGCCCAAGGUUUGUGCAUCCCUGAAGGCAACAUCGCUUGCAGCGUCAUUCGGCGAGCAGCAAGCGGAGACCCGGGGUCGGCGGCCC